This is a long non-coding RNA of Mesocricetus auratus (golden hamster), 628 nucleotides long. RefSeq lists it as uncharacterized. The record is from RefSeq and is a predicted model, not a curated record. NCBI's taxonomy places the organism in Eukaryota, Metazoa, Chordata, Mammalia, Rodentia, Cricetidae. The transcript has 3 exons.
UUAGAAAGUAUCCGAGUUCAUUGUUCAUUUCUGCCUUACACAAGUCCUUUCAGGUUGUCUCUGGUUUCCAGAACCCAUCCCUUCUUCAGACAAGCAGAGCCCCAUAGUGAUGAAAAGUAGCAUUGUUCCCAGGGAACAGUACCCCAGAGAUUGCCAUACCAUGUUCAUCCUUCUGGAAUUAUUCUUUUUCCUUUGUGUCUAUCCAGAUUUCCUUCUGCCUUUCCAUGCUGGUCAAGAGAGUGAAUAGCAGCUCAUAUCCAAAGCAAAGCACUCUUUAGUUCAUCUCUUCACACCCAAGAGUCUGUAAAAUGAAGAAACAUCGAGGAGGAGUCUCUAACGAAGGUUUUCUGGGAUUGGAGUUGAGCAGCUGGAGUCCAGCAUCUGGGGCCUGAUGUGAGCAGCAGCCGGCAGCAUCUGGUGGGCUGCAUCAUCCUCCAACGACUUCCUCCAGUGGUUCUGCAGCAGAAUGCCUCUGAUGAGACACCUUCCUGAUUCAGAGCAAUCAGUCCAGUCGGAAAAGUGAACCCAUGGCUGAAAGGUUCAGGCAUUCUGCUGGCCUGCCCUGUUACCUGGCAGGAUGCACUCAGGCAACACUCUGGCCAGCCCAGAGUUCCGUGAGAACCUCGCA